GGCCCAGUAGUUUCAGAGGAGAAGAAUUUUGUAAAAAAUUACUAAGAUUUACGAACUAGAGGCUCUAAAGAGCCUGUGUCGCUCACCUUGGUAUAUGUGAAUAUUAAACAAAGGAAGCAGAUGGAUUCAUGACAAAAUUGUGUUUAGGUGAUGGUGAUGUGUUUGUACAUCUUACUUUACUGAACAUUCUUGCUCCUUACAAUUAUCUCUAUCUAUAAUGAUCUUGGCCCAGUAGUUUCAGUGGAAAAUGUUAGUAAAAAUUUACAAAUUUUAUGAAAAUUGUUAAAAAUUGACUAUCAAGGACAAUAACUCCUUAGGGGGUCAACUGACCAUUUUUGUCAUGUUUGACUUAUCUUUAGGUCUUACUUUGCUGUACAUUAUUGCUGUUUACAGUUUAUCUCUAUCUAUAAUAAUAUUCAAGAUAAUAACCAAAAACAGCAAAAUUUUCUUAAAAUUACCAAUUAUGGGGCAGCAACCCAACAACCGGUUGUCGGAUCCAUCUGAAAAUUUCAGGGCAGAUAGAUCUUGACAUGAUAAACAAUUUCACUCCGUCAGAUUUGCUCUAAAUGCUUUGAUUUUUGAGUUAUAAGCCAAAAACUGCAUUUUACCCCUAUGUCCUAUAUUUAGCCGUGGCAGCCAUCUUGGUUGGAUGGCCGGGUCACCAGACACAUUUUUUAAACUACAUACCCCAAAGAUGACUGUGGCCAAGUUUGGAUUAAUUUAGCCCAGUAGUUUUAGAGGAGAAGAUUUUUGUAAAAGAUCACUAAGAUUUACGAAAUGGUUAAAAAUUGACUAUAAAGGGCAAUAACUCCUUAAGGGGUCAACUGACCAUUUCGGUCAUGUUGACUUAUUUGUAAAUCUUACUUUGCUGAACAUUAUUGCAGUUUACAGUUUAUCUCUAUCUAUAAUAAUAUUCAAGAUAAUAACCAAAAACAGCAAAAUUUCCAUAAAAUUACCAAUUCAGGGGCAGCAACCUAUCAACGGGUUGUCCGAUUCAUCUGAAAAUUUCUGGGCAGAUAGAUCUUGACCUGAUAAACAAUUUUACCCCAUGUCAGAUUUGCUCUAAAUGCUUUGAUUUUUGAGUUAUAAGCCAAAAACUGCAUUUUACCCCUAUGUCCUAUAUUUAGCCGUGGCAGCCAUCUUGGUUGGAUGGUCGGGUCACCGGACACAUUUUUUAAACUACAUACCCCAAAGAUGAUUGUGGCCAAGUUUGGAUUAAUUUAGCCCAGUAGUUUCAGAGGAGAAGAUUUUUGUAAAAGAUUACUAAGAUUUACGAAAAAUGGUUAAAAAUAUUGACUAUAAAGGGCAAUAACUCCUUAAGGGGUCAACUGACCAUUUCGGUCAUGUUGACUUAUUUGUAAAUCUUACUUUGCUGAACAUUAUUGCUGUUUACAGUUUAUCUCUAUCUAUAAUAAUAUUCAAGAUAAUAACCAAAAAACAGCAAAAUUUCCAUAAAAUUACCAAUUCAGGGGCAGCAACCCAUCAACUGGUUGUCCGAUUCAUCUGAAAAUUUCUGGGCAGAUAGAUCUUGACCUGAUAAACAAUUUUACCCCAUGUCAGAUUUGCUCUAAAUGCUUUGGUUUUUGAGUUAUAAGCCAAAAACUGCAUUUUACCCCUAUGUUCUAUUUUUAGCCGUGGCAGCCAUCUUGGUUGGAUGGCCGGGUCACCGGACACAUUUUUUAAACUACAUACCCCAAAGAUGAUUGUGGCCAAGUUUGGAUUAAUUUAGCCCAGUAGUUUCAGAGGAGAAGAUUUUUGUAAAAGAUCACUAAGAUUUACGAAAAAUGGUUAAAAUUGACUAUAAAGGGCAAUAACUCCUUAAGGGGUCAACUGACCAUUUCGGUCAUGUUGACUUAUUUGUAGAUCUUACUUUGCUGAACAUUAUUGCUGUUUACAGUUUAUCUCUAUCUAUAAUAAUAUUCAAGAUAAUAACCAAAAACAGCAAAAUUUCCAUAAAAUUACCAAUUCAGGGGCAGCAACCCAUCAACGGGUUGUCCGAUUCAUCUGAAAAUUUCUGGGCAGAUAGAUCUUGACCUGAUAAACAAUUUUACCCCCAUGUCAGAUUUGCUCUAAAUGCUUUGAUUUUUGAGUUAUAAGCCAAAAACUGCAUUUUACCCCUAUGUCCUAUAUUUAGCCGUGGCAGCCAUCUUGGUUGGAUGGCCGGGUCACCGGACACAUUUUUUAAACUACAUACCCCAAAGAUGAUUGUGGCCAAGUUUGGAUUAAUUUAGCCCAGUAGUUUCAGAGGAGAAGAUUUUUGUAAAAGAUUACUAAGAUUUACGAAAAAAUGGUUAAAAAUUGACUAUAAAGGGCAAUAACUCCUUAAGGGGUCAACUGACCAUUUCGGUCAUGUUGACUUAUUUGUAAAUCUUACUUUGCUGAACAUUAUUGCUGUUUACAGUUUAUCUCUAUCUAUAAUAAUAUUCAAGAUAAUAACCAAAAACAGCAAAAAUUUCCAUAAAAUUACCAAUUCAGGGGCAGCAACCCAUCAACUGGUUGUCCGAUUCAUCUGAAAAUUUCUGGGCAGAUAGAUCUUGACCUGAUAAACAAUUUUACCCCAUGUCAGAUUUGCUCUAAAUGCUUUGGUUUUUGAGUUAUAAGCCAAAAACUGCAUUUUUACCCCUAUGUUCUAUUUUUAGCCAUGGCGGCCAUCUUGGUUGGUUGGCGGGGUCACCGGACACAUUUUUUAAACUAGAUACCCCAAUGAUGAUUGUGGCCAAGUUUGAUUAAAUUUGGCUUAGUAGUUUCAGAGGAGAAGAUUUUUGUAAAAGUUAACGACGACGGACGCAGGACGACGACGGACGACGGACGCAGGACGACGGACGCCGGACGCAAAGUGAUGGGAAAAGCUCACUUGGCCCUUCGGGCCAGGUGAGCUAAAAAUGGUUAAAAAUUGACUAUAAAGGGCUAUAACUCCUUAAGGGGUCAACUGAC
RNAcentral lists this long non-coding RNA (2934 nucleotides) under Mytilus galloprovincialis (Mediterranean mussel). Lineage: Eukaryota; Metazoa; Mollusca; Bivalvia; Mytilida; Mytilidae. The record is from RNAcentral.